CCUGGCUCAGGACGAACGCUGGCGGCGUGCCUAAUACAUGCAAGUCGAGCGAAUCAAUAGGAGCUUGCUCCUGUUGGUUAGCGGCGGACGGGUGAGUAACACGUGGGCAACCUGCCUGUAAGACUGGGAUAACUUCGGGAAACCGGAGCUAAUACCGGAUAAUCCUUUCCCUCACAUGAGGAAAAGCUGAAAGUCGGUUUCGGCUGACACUUACAGAUGGGCCCGCGGCGCAUUAGCUAGUUGGUGAGGUAACGGCUCACCAAGGCGACGAUGCGUAGCCGACCUGAGAGGGUGAUCGGCCACACUGGGACUGAGACACGGCCCAGACUCCUACGGGAGGCAGCAGUAGGGAAUCUUCCGCAAUGGACGAAAGUCUGACGGAGCAACGCCGCGUGAGCGAUGAAGGCCUUCGGGUCGUAAAGCUCUGUUGUUAGGGAAGAACAAGUGCCGGAGUAACUGCCGGUACCUUGACGGUACCUAACCAGAAAGCCACGGCUAACUACGUGCCAGCAGCCGCGGUAAUACGUAGGUGGCAAGCGUUGUCCGGAAUUAUUGGGCGUAAAGCGCGCGCAGGCGGUCCUUUAAGUCUGAUGUGAAAGCCCACGGCUCAACCGUGGAGGGUCAUUGGAAAACUGGGGGGACUUGAGUGCAGAAGAGGAAAGCGGGAAUUUCCACGUGUAGCGGGUGAAAUGCGUAGAGAUGUGGAGGGAACACCAGUUGGCGAAAGGCGGCUUUCUGGGUCUGUAACUGACGCUGAGGCGCGAAAGCGUGGGGAGCAAAACAAGGAUUAGAUACCCCUG
This 800-nucleotide ribosomal RNA is filed under the name uncultured Bacilli bacterium. RNAcentral describes it as "bacterial SSU rRNA". It matches the Rfam family "Bacterial small subunit ribosomal RNA", at positions 18 to 790 of the family's 1533-position model. The record is from RNAcentral. Lineage: Bacteria; Bacillati; Bacillota; Bacilli.